UUCCUUAGUAGCGGCGAGCGAACAGGAAAUAGCCCAGCACUGAAUCCCGUUGUUGUAACGGCGACGGGAGAUGUGGUGUUCGGGAGGUUCCGCUUUCUCGUCGUUGUCUUCUCCUGUCCAAGUUCGUCUUGAACGGGGCCGUUUUCCCGUAGAGGGUGCCAGGCCCGUAGCGACGGAGGACGGCGGCGAGAGGAACUCUCCUCAGAGUCGGGUUGCUUGAGAGUGCAGCCCUAAGCGGGUGGUAAACUCCAUCUAAGGCUAAAUAUUACCGCGAGACCGAU
RNAcentral lists this ribosomal RNA (281 nucleotides) under Epione repandaria. RNAcentral's name for it is "partial 28S ribosomal RNA". It matches the Rfam family "Eukaryotic large subunit ribosomal RNA", at positions 76 to 338 of the family's 3401-position model. Lineage: Eukaryota; Metazoa; Arthropoda; Insecta; Lepidoptera; Geometridae. The record is from RNAcentral. RNAcentral also lists the same sequence under 1 other name.